RNAcentral lists this long non-coding RNA (1343 nucleotides) under Homo sapiens (human). RNAcentral's name for it is "HSALNT0077407". The record is from RNAcentral. Lineage: Eukaryota; Metazoa; Chordata; Mammalia; Primates; Hominidae.
UAACAAUGAAUAUUAGAAAAGCUAGUUUCACUGUUUGAAUGUAAUAUUAUGUUAUUCUGAAGAAUUCUGUGACUCAUUCUUGAGAGAGCACAAAAAUAAUUUACAUUAAGCAAAAAAUUAAUGCAUUGCUUUGAGCCAGUGUUGUGUUUUAUUUUUCUUUUACUAUCAUAGUUCCAAAGAUCAUUAAUAUGGAGGAAAUAUUUUGCAUUAGAAUGCAGAAAGGCUGCCAUUUCUGUUAACUAUGAGUAGGAAACCUAAAAUAUUAAUAUACAGCAACCAAAUUCAAAAUGAAAUUAGAGUAUAGAAGUGAUUCUUGAGGAGUUUCUCAAUAAUAUACAGAACGAAUGCUGAAAAUUAAGCAGAGCCCUACAGUACUGUUUAUUUCUUCUUUGUAAAGUAAAGAGAAAUCAUGUUAACCAGGUCAAUGUGAUCCUGCAAUUUUUUUUUUUUUAGUUAACUUGGAUGAUUUUUAUCUUGCUUUAAUAGAAGAAACCCGGCCACUUCAGAGUCUGCAAAUGGAGCUCCUUGUCACUGAGCUCCAGAGAUGUAAACAGAAGUAGCAAACAGGUUCCUCUUUUAGUGUAAACAAAUAAGUGAUUUUUUAAAAAAAACUUCUGAAGGGAUUACUUGUCCAUAAUGUGAAUUUUACAUUUUUAUUCACAUAUUCAUCCAUAAGAAACACUAGGUGAAUGCAAAAAAACUGGGCCAAAUAGGCCUGGCGCAUACACACACCUCAAACAUCUCUAGCUUCCUCAGCAGAUGGUGUCUGAUUAUGAGCCACCAUGAACUGAUUUUACUCCACGUUUAUAAUACUUCUGAUGGCCACUCCCACAAGAAAACUUCAGGGUUUCUUUCAAGGUCUUUAGCCAUGUUAACUUCAUUGGGCAGUAACUUCCCUAUUAUUAAUCAGUUUGCAAAUGCCUUAAGAAGAAAAAAUGACAAAGAACUUCCAGCAAGAUAAAAGUACUGAACGGCCUUGGUAGCUCUGCUACUUUCCAAUGAAUACAGGUUUGCUUUGUUGACAUGUUAGAAGCUAUUCUCAAACCUGUAAAUGAAAAUGAGUGAUAAGGAAACCUGUUCCAAACAUAUUGCAGCAACCUGGUCCCAGCUAGCCUGAGCACUACUGCUAAGUCCAGCACAAGUGAUCAGCCAGAGGUACUGAGGAAACGCUUCUGUCUUCUGGUACAGGAUAAUGAACAUCCCCAAAUUUCAGAGUUCAUGACCUCUCAGAGUACAGAAAUCACACAACACUGCGAAAUACUUCUGUAAUUCUCUGCUGGAAAAAUUCAAUUUUAUGACAGUCAUUUGAGAGGAAGUGUUGCUAGACCUGAUAUAUAGCUUUU